RNAcentral lists this ribosomal RNA (253 nucleotides) under uncultured bacterium. Its description in RNAcentral is "partial 16S ribosomal RNA". It matches the Rfam family "Bacterial small subunit ribosomal RNA", at positions 524 to 776 of the family's 1533-position model. The record is from RNAcentral.
GACAGAGGCCUCAAGCGUUAGGCGGAAUCACUGGGCUUAAAGCGUGUGUAGGCGGAUGCCUAAGUACCUUGUGAAAUCCCACGGCUCAACCGUGGAACUGCUGGGUAUACUGGGCGUCUUGGGCCAUUCAGGGGCGACUGGAACAAGCGGUGGAGCGGUGAAAUGCGUAGAUAUCGCUUGGAACGCCGAAGGUGAAAACAGGUCGCUGGGGAUGUGCCGACGCUGAGACACGAAGGCCAGGGGAGCAAACGGG